This 494-nucleotide ribosomal RNA is filed under the name uncultured bacterium. RNAcentral describes it as "partial 16S ribosomal RNA". It matches the Rfam family "Bacterial small subunit ribosomal RNA", at positions 28 to 507 of the family's 1533-position model. The record is from RNAcentral.
GACGAACGCUGGCGGCGUGCUUAACACAUGCAAGUCGAACGGUGAAGCGCCAUCUUUUUUGGUUGGUGUGGUUGCGUAGCGAAGGGGUACGUAACACGUGCGUACCCUGCACCCUUCUUCUGGCUCUCCGCAUGACAGUUUGUAUAAUAUGGGAAAUUCUGGGUCUGUGGCAUGAUGGGUAUAGGACAGCUAUUGGUUAGGUGGGGGCGGGGCUCGAGGCCUAUCAGCUUGUUGGGGGGGUCAUGGCCUACCACGGCGGUGACGGGUGGCCGGCCUGAGAGGGUGGACGGCCACACUGGGACUGAGACCCAGCCCAGACUCCGACGGGAGGCAGCAGUGGGGAAUAGUGCACAAUGGGCGCAAUUCUGAUGCAGCGACGCGGCGUGAGGGAUGGCGGCCUUCGGGUUGUGAACCUCUUUCGCCAGUGAAGCAGGCCUGCCUCGUUUGUAGGUGGAUUGACGGUAGCUGGAGAAGAAGCGCCGGCUAACUACGUG